Small nucleolar RNA from Lathyrus oleraceus (garden pea), 107 nucleotides. NCBI's taxonomy places the organism in Eukaryota, Viridiplantae, Streptophyta, Magnoliopsida, Fabales, Fabaceae. The record is from RefSeq and is a predicted model, not a curated record.
AAUCCAUGGUGUGGACAAGCUCUUAAUAGUUUUUUAUAUCUCUCCCAAACAUCGAAAAGAGAUUCACCAUCCUGUUGUGUGAAUCUAGUAAUUUGGUUUCGCAGAAC